RNAcentral lists this ribosomal RNA (835 nucleotides) under Streptomyces sp. 0112ALTPS23. RNAcentral's name for it is "bacterial SSU rRNA". It matches the Rfam family "Bacterial small subunit ribosomal RNA", at positions 68 to 918 of the family's 1533-position model. The record is from RNAcentral. Lineage: Bacteria; Bacillati; Actinomycetota; Actinomycetes; Kitasatosporales; Streptomycetaceae.
GAUGAAGCCCUUCGGGGUGGAUUAGUGGCGAACGGGUGAGUAACACGUGGGCAAUCUGCCCUUCACUCUGGGACAAGCCCUGGAAACGGGGUCUAAUACCGGAUACCACUCCUGCCUGCAUGGGCGGGGGUUGAAAGCUCCGGCGGUGAAGGAUGAGCCCGCGGCCUAUCAGCUUGUUGGUGGGGUAAUGGCCCACCAAGGCGACGACGGGUAGCCGGCCUGAGAGGGCGACCGGCCACACUGGGACUGAGACACGGCCCAGACUCCUACGGGAGGCAGCAGUGGGGAAUAUUGCACAAUGGGCGAAAGCCUGAUGCAGCGACGCCGCGUGAGGGAUGACGGCCUUCGGGUUGUAAACCUCUUUCAGCAGGGAAGAAGCGAAAGUGACGGUACCUGCAGAAGAAGCGCCGGCUAACUACGUGCCAGCAGCCGCGGUAAUACGUAGGGCGCAAGCGUUGUCCGGAAUUAUUGGGCGUAAAGAGCUCGUAGGCGGCUUGUCACGUCGGAUGUGAAAGCCCGAGGCUUAACCUCGGGUCUGCAUUCGAUACGGGCUAGCUAGAGUGUGGUAGGGGAGAUCGGAAUUCCUGGUGUAGCGGUGAAAUGCGCAGAUAUCAGGAGGAACACCGGUGGCGAAGGCGGAUCUCUGGGCCAUUACUGACGCUGAGGAGCGAAAGCGUGGGGAGCGAACAGGAUUAGAUACCCUGGUAGUCCACGCCGUAAACGUUGGGAACUAGGUGUUGGCGACAUUCCACGUCGUCNGUGCCGCAGCUAACGCAUUAAGUUCCCCGCCUGGGGAGUACGCCGCAAGGCUAAAACUCAAAUGAAUUUGACGGGG